CCUACGGGUGGCAGCAGUGAGGAAUAUUGGUCAAUGGGCGCGAGCCUGAACCAGCCAAGUCGCGUGAGGGAAGACGGUCCUAUGGAUUGUCAACCUCUUUUGUCGGGGAGCAAAAGACGCCACGCGUGGCGUUCCGAGAGUACCCGAAGAAAAAGCAUCGGCUAACUCCGUGCCAGCAGCCGCGGUAAUACGGAGGAUGCGAGCGUUAUCCGGAUUUAUUGGGUUUAAAGGGAGCGUAGAUGGGUUGUUAAGUCAGUUGUGAAAGUUUGCGGCUCAACCGUAAAAUUGCAAUUGAUACUGGCAGCCUUGAGUACAGUUGAGGUAGGCGGAAUUCGUGGUGUAGCGGUGAAAUGCUUAGAUAUCACGAAGAACUCCGAUUGCGAAGGCAGCUUACUAAACUGCCACUGACAUUGAUGCUCGAAAGUGUGGGUAUCAAACAGGAUUAGAUACCCCUGUAGUC
This 460-nucleotide ribosomal RNA is filed under the name uncultured bacterium. RNAcentral's name for it is "partial 16S ribosomal RNA". It matches the Rfam family "Bacterial small subunit ribosomal RNA", at positions 338 to 795 of the family's 1533-position model. The record is from RNAcentral.